This 411-nucleotide ribosomal RNA is filed under the name uncultured microorganism. Its description in RNAcentral is "partial 16S ribosomal RNA". It matches the Rfam family "Archaeal small subunit ribosomal RNA", at positions 330 to 745 of the family's 1478-position model. The record is from RNAcentral.
GUGCACCAGGCGCGAAACCUCCGCAAUGCGGGCAACCGUGACGGGGUCACCCCGAGUGCCCCCCUCGUGGGGGCUUUUCCCCGCUGUAGGAAGGCGGGGGAAUAAGCGGGGGGCAAGACUGGUGUCAGCCGCCGCGGUAAUACCAGCCCCGCGAGUGGUCGGGGUGAUUAUUGGGCCUAAAGCGCCCGUAGCCGGCCCGGCAAGUCUCCCUCUAAAGCCCCGGGCUCAACCCGGGGAGUGGGGGAGAUACUGCCGGGCUAGGGGGCGGGAGAGGCCGAGGGUACUCCCGGGGUAGGGGCGAAAUCCUAUAAUCCCGGGAGGACCACCAGUGGCGAAGGCGCUCGGCUGGAACGCGCCCGACGGUGAGGGGCGAAAGCCGGGGGAGCGAACCGGAUUAGAUACCCGUGUAGU